RNAcentral lists this transfer RNA (57 nucleotides) under Mus musculus (house mouse). It matches the Rfam family "tRNA", at positions 1 to 56 of the family's 71-position model. Rfam says of the family: Transfer RNA (tRNA) molecules are approximately 80 nucleotides in length. Their secondary structure includes four short double-helical elements and three loops (D, anti-codon, and T loops). Lineage: Eukaryota; Metazoa; Chordata; Mammalia; Rodentia; Muridae. The record is from Rfam by way of RNAcentral.
UGAGAUGUAGCUCAGUGGUAGAGCGCUUACUUAGCAAGUAAGAGGCCUUUAAUUCAA